RNAcentral lists this microRNA precursor (82 nucleotides) under Paramuricea clavata. The record is from RNAcentral. Lineage: Eukaryota; Metazoa; Cnidaria; Anthozoa; Malacalcyonacea; Plexauridae.
UCUCAUGAACAUGUCUGCAGAGUGCGCAUUUUGCUUUUUAAUUAAAAAGCAAAAUGCGCACUCUGCGGACAUGUUCAUAAGA